Molecule: long non-coding RNA, 2038 nt
Organism: Nerophis ophidion (straightnose pipefish)
Lineage: Eukaryota; Metazoa; Chordata; Actinopteri; Syngnathiformes; Syngnathidae
Exons: 2
Source: RefSeq, a predicted model, not a curated record
CCUAACCCCAACCCCAACCACAAACCUGACACGCCAGUGCCUCCGGCCUUGUUUCGGGUGGCGUCCUGCCUGCGAUGAUUGUCACUCUGGGUGGCCUGCUCGGGUCCUUGGGGUGGCCAUCGUUCGGCUUGGCGUCGCCUGGACAGGUUGUGAUGGAGCGAGCACACCCUCCUCUUCUCUCUUUUCUUUUUUUCACACUCUCUCUCUCUCUAUCCCUCUCCCUCUCCUCUCCUAAACCUAACCUUUACUCUCUCCUCUCCUAAACCUAACCUUUACUCUCUCUCUCAUCUCACUCUCUCUCUCUCUCUCUCACUCACUCUCUCUCUCUCUCUCUCUCUCUCUCUCUCUCUCUCUCUAUCUCACUCUCUCUCUCUCCUAACCCUAACCCCAACCCCAACCACAAACCUGACACGCCAGUGCCUCCGGCCUUGUUUCGGGUGGCGUCCUGCCUGCGAUGAUUGUCACUCUGGGUGGCCUGCUCGGUGAGUACAAAUCGUUUCACAGUGCGGGUGUCGUGACGUUACAACAAGUCGAACUUUUAGACUUGAUUUGAACACAUUCCAAAUGGAGGGAAAGGUAUAUCAAAGCAAACAUUUUAUUGCUUUGGUCAAACAUUCCGAUAGUCCACGGCGUGUUUGUCCACUAUGUGUUGCACAUAAUAUGUCGAUUUGACGCUUCACAUAUGUAGGAUGUUAUUUUGAGAGUCUUUUGACUCCGCUGUAGUUGUGAGCACUAGCCACGCCCACUGCAGCACACUAUAUAACCUCCUCCAUUUGGAGCCCAGGCUCAUUCCCUCUCCGGCAGUUCAUGAGAUACCCUCCUGCCCGAGGACACAUAGGGAAGCCGUCUCGACCACGGGGUUUCAAGGAAGCACCCUUUACCCACUGGAGAAGGAGAAGAGCUCCAGUGGGCGUGGCCCAGCCAGCCUGACGAGGCCUGAAAGGCCGAAACGCGCGUCGCUGGAUAUUAUCCGCAUGUGUUUGUCACUUCAUUUAAAGCCCCGAUUCGAUUUCUUCCAGGGUCCUUGGGGUGGCCAUCGUUCGGCUUGGCGUCGCCUGGACAGGUUGUGAUGGAGCGAGCACACCCUCCUCUUCUCUCUUUUCUUUUUUUCACACUCUCUCUCUCUCUAUCCCUCUCCCUCUCCUCUCCUAAACCUAACCUUUACUCUCUCCUCUCCUAAACCUAACCUUUACUCUCUCUCUCAUCUCACUCUCUCUCUCUCCUCUCUCACUCACUCUCUCUCUCUCUCUCUCUCUCUCUCUCUCUCUCUCUCUCUCUCUAUCUCACUCUCUCUCUCUCCUAACCCUAACCCCAACCCCAACCACAAACCUGACACGCCAGUGCCUCCGGCCUUGUUUCGGGUGGCGUCCUGCCUGCGAUGAUUGUCACUCUGGGUGGCCUGCUCGGUGAGUACAAAUCGUUUCACAGUGCGGGUGUCGUGACGUUACAACAAGUCGAACUUUUAGACUUGAUUUGAACACAUUCCAAAUGGAGGGAAAGGUAUAUCAAAGCAAACAUUUUAUUGCUUUGGUCAAACAUUCCGAUAGUCCACGGCGUGUUUGUCCACUAUGUGUUGCACAUAAUAUGUCGAUUUGACGCUUCACAUAUGUAGGAUGUUAUUUUGAGAGUCUUUUGACUCCGCUGUAGUUGUGAGCACUAGCCACGCCCACUGCAGCACACUAUAUAACCUCCUCCAUUUGGAGCCCAGGCUCAUUCCCUCUCCGGCAGUUCAUGAGAUACCCUCCUGCCCGAGGACACAUAGGGAAGCCGUCUCGACCACGGGGUUUCAAGGAAGCACCCUUUACCCACUGGAGAAGGAGAAGAGCUCCAGUGGGCGUGGCCCAGCCAGCCUGACGAGGCCUGAAAGGCCGAAACGCGCGUCGCUGGAUAUUAUCCGCAUGUGUUUGUCACUUCAUUUAAAGCCCCGAUUCGAUUUCUUCCAGGGUCCUUGGGGUGGCCAUCGUUCGGCUUGGCGUCGCCUGGACAGGUUGUGAUGGAGCGAGCACACCCUCCUCUUCUCUCUUUUCUUUUUUUCACA